GACGGAGGGUGCUAGCGUUGUUCGGAAUGACUGGGCGUAAAGGGCGCGUAGGCGGCCGCUUGCGUCGGAUGUGAAAGCCCGGGGCUCAACCCCGGAACGGCAUCCGAUACGGGGCGGCUCGAGACCGAGAGAGGUGAGUGGAAUACCCAGUGUAGAGGUGAAAUUCGUAGAUAUUGGGUGGAACACCGGUGGCGAAAGCGGCAUCCUGGACCAUUACUGACACUGAAAAGCGAAAGCCAGGGGAGCAAACGGG
Molecule: ribosomal RNA, 253 nt
Filed under: uncultured bacterium
Lineage: Bacteria
Description: partial 16S ribosomal RNA
Rfam family: Bacterial small subunit ribosomal RNA
Source: RNAcentral